AGCAAUUGCCUGGUUAUAUAAGCAUUUGGAGGUGCAUAAAUAGAUGGCAAAGCAACCUCACCUCCACUAGAAGAAUGACAGAGUAGCUGCAAAAGGACGAUGAUCCCUGAUUUGGAAUGAGUACUUGUUGGAUGCUUUUGUUCACUUCGAUGAAGACUGCUAUUUUAGGUUCUUGUGCACUAUUGCUAAAGAAGUGAAUUUGAUUGAUCUCUGUAUCCUAGAUAUGAACCAUGUACUAGAGAAUGAAUCUUGUCAGUGUACUUUUGAAGACUUGAAUGGAUCUUGUCAGUGGAAUUAUU
Lolium perenne is the source of this 299-nucleotide non-coding RNA. NCBI's taxonomy places the organism in Eukaryota, Viridiplantae, Streptophyta, Magnoliopsida, Poales, Poaceae. The record is from RefSeq and is a predicted model, not a curated record.